Bombina bombina (fire-bellied toad) is the source of this 148-nucleotide long non-coding RNA. RefSeq lists it as uncharacterized. NCBI's taxonomy places the organism in Eukaryota, Metazoa, Chordata, Amphibia, Anura, Bombinatoridae. The transcript is spliced from 3 exons. The record is from RefSeq and is a predicted model, not a curated record.
GAGGCUUCAACAGGAACGCUAUAAAAAGAUAUCAUUCGCCAAAACUUGCAGAGCAAAGUGCAAAGGAAGGUUCACUUUGAGUGGAUGCCAGAGUAUUGAUGAUGAGUGCCCUGCUAAGUAUGACAAGCGUAAAAGAAACAAGAACAAU